CAAGUCGAGCGGCAGCGACUUAACUGAACCUUCGGGGGACGUUAAGGGCGGCGAGCGGCGGACGGGUGAGUAAUGCCUGGGAAAUUGCCCUGAUGUGGGGGAUAACCAUUGGAAACGAUGGCUAAUACCGCAUAAUCUCUUCGGAGCAAAGAGGGGGACCUUCGGGCCUCUCGCGUCAGGAUAUGCCCAGGUGGGAUUAGCUAGUUGGUGAGGUAAGGGCUCACCAAGGCGACGAUCCCUAGCUGGUCUGAGAGGAUGAUCAGCCACACUGGAACUGAGACACGGUCCAGACUCCUACGGGAGGCAGCAGUGGGGAAUAUUGCACAAUGGGCGCAAGCCUGAUGCAGCCAUGCCGCGUGUGUGAAGAAGGCCUUCGGGUUGUAAAGCACUUUCAGUAGGGAGGAAGGUGUUGUCGUUAAUAGCGGCAACAUUUGACGUUACCUACAGAAGAAGCACCGGCUAACUCCGUGCCAGCCGC
Molecule: ribosomal RNA, 478 nt
Filed under: bacterium 1911-S1-01-1.2.1
Lineage: Bacteria
Description: bacterial SSU rRNA
Rfam family: Bacterial small subunit ribosomal RNA
Source: RNAcentral